ACCAGGACACCACGCCCCUCGGGCCGGGAGCCGGUUCCGGCUGAGUCGGCAGGGUUGCCGAGCUCUCGCAAUCGCGCUUUACCUGCCCAGGCAAGCCGCGGCAAGAACGCAAGGGGCGCGAAGAUAAACCGACACUUUCCCAACCGCUUCACCACCCCUCAGCGACUUCCGCUUCCGGCGACUCCAUGGGGAAACUGAAGCCCUAGAGGAAAAGAAGACUAAAUGUAUUACCAUCUGACCCACUUCCUGGCCAGCCUGUUCACCUGUCUGCUGUUCUUCAUUGAUGUGCAAUCUAAGACUCAGAGAAGCUGGAGAAUUUUCCUAACGUCACACAGCAAAGGAAUGGAAGACUCAGGACAAGAAUACACGAUCCUCUCCUUCCAACAUGUCACCCAGCAGAACAAGAGAAGGAAUCACAAUUGGUCCAUGACAGUCACGGUCAUCUCAUUCCUCUUGCCAGUGGCAGGUGUAUGUGUGAGUUUGCAGCUCAAUCCUGGCCAAGGGGAUCCAAGGACUGCUGAAGAGGCAUGUCUGCACAUGUCACCUAGAACAUCUCCAGCCAUCAUGUGAUCUCUGGGGGAGGCAUUCCCAACUCUCUGAGAGAAGCAGACCAGAAAGAUGGAAAGAAAGCACCUGGCUCCAGGAUGAUGACAUUGAGCCGAUGAAUUAACCACCUUUGUGCUGCUCUAACCUUCAGAGUUCACCUUAACAUGAGAAAAUAAAACCCUUAUUGCUUAGCCA
RNAcentral lists this long non-coding RNA (741 nucleotides) under Homo sapiens (human). RNAcentral's name for it is "PRKAB1, TMEM233 and CCDC60 antisense RNA 1 (PRKAB1-AS1)". The record is from RNAcentral. Lineage: Eukaryota; Metazoa; Chordata; Mammalia; Primates; Hominidae.